Molecule: long non-coding RNA, 362 nt
Filed under: Vitis vinifera (wine grape)
Lineage: Eukaryota; Viridiplantae; Streptophyta; Magnoliopsida; Vitales; Vitaceae
Description: long non-coding RNA (VVIN_LNC005239)
Source: RNAcentral
CUCCUGAAAGAGCCAACACUAGAGGGGGAAAUCGCGCUGUGGCGCGUCAUAAUCAAGGAUGUUAAGCUCAAUGUCUCGCCUGGCUCUUCCUUCCAGUGCUCUGAGCCUGGAUGGUUUCGGGUCUGCUUCGCUAAUAUGGAUGAGGAUACUGUUGAAGUCGCACUCAAAAGGAUCAGAACAUUUGUUGGCAAAGGCCAGGAGGAGGCAGAGGCACCAACCAAAGCCAAGCGCUGGAAAAACAGCACUCUUCGCCUGAGCUUCUCAUCUCGGAUAUACGAUGAAGCUGUGAUGUCCCCUCAUUCCCCUAUGCCUCAUUCCCCACUCGUCCGCGCCAGGACUUGAUUGGUUGGCAGUUAGAUGCG